UUCGCUGGUUAGUGUUUGUUAUUGUGGGGAGUCGGAUAUAAGUCCAUGUAUUGGCAUUCUGUUUCCUUUUCUUUGUUAUUGUUGGGAGUCGGAUAUAAGUCCAUGUAUUGGCAUUCUGUUUCCUUUUGGGUGUUUCUUUUGACGUCUCAGCGUCCCUAUUGGUGUCUUGUUUCAGCGUGUGUUAGCCGAGCUACGAGUGCUCUAAUUCUUCUCUGGAUAGAGAAGAUACGUAGGCAUAAG
Molecule: long non-coding RNA, 240 nt
Filed under: Lathyrus oleraceus (garden pea)
Lineage: Eukaryota; Viridiplantae; Streptophyta; Magnoliopsida; Fabales; Fabaceae
Description: Pisum sativum (pea) long non-coding RNA (PSAT_LNC011504)
Source: RNAcentral